Molecule: ribosomal RNA, 245 nt
Filed under: uncultured Eubacteriales bacterium
Lineage: Bacteria; Bacillati; Bacillota; Clostridia; Eubacteriales
Description: uncultured Clostridiales bacterium partial 16S ribosomal RNA
Rfam family: Bacterial small subunit ribosomal RNA
Source: RNAcentral
UACGUAGGGGGCAAGCGUUAUCCGGAAUUACUGGGCGUAAAGAGUACGUAGGUGGUGCUGUAAGCGCAGGGUUUAAGGCAACGGCCCAACCGUUGUUCGCCCUGUGAACUGCAGUACUUGAGUGCUGGAGGGGAAGGCGGAAUUCCUAGUGUAGCGGUGAAAUGCGUAGAUAUUAGGAGGAACACCAGUGGCGAAGGCGGCCUUCUGGACAGUAACUGACACUGAGGUACGAAAGCGUGGGUAGC